AGCAAACGCUGGCGGCGUGCCUAAUACAUGCAAGUCGAACGAGGAAAGCUUUCGGGUGAGUACUAGUGGCGCACGGGUGAGUAACGCGUGGGUAAUCUACCAUCGAGUGGGGAAUAACUAAUCGAAAGAUUAGCUAAUACCGCAUAAGACCACAGAAGCUACGGCUUCAGAGGUCAAAGGAGCAAUUCGCUUGAUGAUGAGCCCGCGUCGGAUUAGCUAGUUGGUAGGGUAAUGGCCUACCAAGGCAGUGAUCCGUAGCUGGUCUGAGAGGAUGAUCAGCCACACUGGAACUGAGACACGGUCCAGACUCCUACGGGAGGCAGCAGUAGGGAAUAGUUGCGCAAUGGGGGAAACCCUGACGCAGCGACGCCG
Molecule: ribosomal RNA, 372 nt
Filed under: uncultured bacterium
Lineage: Bacteria
Description: bacterial SSU rRNA
Rfam family: Bacterial small subunit ribosomal RNA
Source: RNAcentral